RNAcentral lists this ribosomal RNA (328 nucleotides) under uncultured eukaryote. RNAcentral's name for it is "partial 18S ribosomal RNA". It matches the Rfam family "Eukaryotic small subunit ribosomal RNA", at positions 1470 to 1796 of the family's 1831-position model. The record is from RNAcentral.
CCCUUAGAUGUCCGGGGCUGCACGCGCGCUACACUGAAGGAAUCAGCGUGCUAAAACCAUUGUCGAAAGGCAUUGGUAAACCCAUUAAAAUCCUACGUGAUUGGGAUCGGGAAUUGCAAUUAUUUCCCUUGAACGAGGAAUUCCCAGUAAGUGUGGGUCAUAAGCUCGCGUUGAUUACGUCCCUGCCCUUUGUACACACCGCCCGUCGCUGCCCGGGACUGAGCCGUUUCGAGAAAAGCGGGGACUGCUGCUGUCGGGGCUUUCGGGCCUUGGCUUCGGCGGAAACCGCUUUAAUCGCAGUGGCUUGAACCGGGCAAAAGUCGUANCA